Molecule: ribosomal RNA, 465 nt
Filed under: Vreelandella stevensii
Lineage: Bacteria; Pseudomonadati; Pseudomonadota; Gammaproteobacteria; Oceanospirillales; Halomonadaceae
Description: partial 16S ribosomal RNA
Rfam family: Bacterial small subunit ribosomal RNA
Source: RNAcentral
CCUACGGGUGGCUGCAGUGGGGAAUAUUGGACAAUGGGCGAAAGCCUGAUCCAGCCAUGCCGCGUGUGUGAAGAAGGCCUUCGGGUUGUAAAGCACUUUCAGUGGGGAAGAAAGCCUUGGGGCUAAUACCCUCGAGGAAGGACAUCACCCACAGAAGAAGCACCGGCUAACUCCGUGCCAGCAGCCGCGGUAAUACGGAGGGUGCGGGCGUUAAUCGGAAUUACUGGGCGUAAAGCGCGCGUAGGCGGUCUGAUAAGCCGGUUGUGAAAGCCCCGGGCUCAACCUGGGAACGGCAUCCGGAACUGUCAGGCUAGAGUGCAGGAGAGGAAGGUAGAAUUCCCGGUGUAGCAGUGAAAUGCGUAGAGAUCGGGAGGAAUACCAGUGGCGAAGGCGGCCUUCUGGACUGACACUGACGCUGAGGUGCGAAAGCGUGGGAAGCAAACAGGAUUAGAUACCCGAGUAGUC